Molecule: ribosomal RNA, 904 nt
Filed under: uncultured Candidatus Poseidoniales archaeon
Lineage: Archaea; Methanobacteriati; Thermoplasmatota; Candidatus Poseidoniia; Candidatus Poseidoniales
Description: bacterial SSU rRNA
Rfam family: Archaeal small subunit ribosomal RNA
Source: RNAcentral
UUCCGGUUGAUCCUGCCAGAGGCGACCGCUUUUGGAGUUCGAUUAAGCCAUGCGAGUCGAGAGCCUUAGGGGCUCGGCAUACUGCUCAGUAACACGUGGAUAACCUGCCCUAUUGUCUGGAAUAACCUCGGGAAACUGAGAACAAGGCCGGAUAACCCACUAUGCCUGGAACGGUUUGUGGGUGAAGAUAGGAUGGGUCUGCGGCGUAUCAGGUCGUAGGGGGUGUAAUGGACCUCCUAGCCAUCGACGCGUACGGGUGUUGGGAGACAUAGCCCGGAGAUGGAUUCUGAGACACGAAUCCAGACCCUACGGGGUGCAGCAGGCGCGAAAACUUCACACUGCAGGAAACUGUGAUGAGGGAACUCCAAGUGCAUUCACUAUGUGGAUGCUUUUUUUGACUAUUAAUCGGUCAACGAAUAAGGGCUGGGAAAGACCGGUGCCAGCCGCCGCGGUAAUACCGGCAGCUCAAGUGGUCGUCGCUUUUAUUGGGCCUAAAACGUCCGUAGCCUGUUUGGUAAAUCUGUGGGUAAAUCAACCAGCUUAACUGGUUGAAUUCUGCAGAGACUGCCAGACUAGGGACCGGGAGAGGUGUGGGGUACUCUAGGGGUAGGGGUAAAAUCCUGUCAUCCUUAGAGGACCACCAGUUGCGAAGGCGCCACACUGGAACGGAUCCGACGGUCAGGGACGAAGCCUAGGGGCACGAACCGGAUUAGAUACCCGGGUAGUCCUAGGUGUAAACGCUGUGAACUUGGUGUCGGGGAUCCGCAAUGGGUCCUCGGUGCCGGAGUGAAGAUGUUAAGUUCACUGCCUGGGGAGUACGGUCGCAAGGCUGAAACUUAAAGGAAUUGGCGGGGGAGCACUGCAACGGGAGGAGCGUGCGGUUUAAUUGGAUUCAACGCCGGGA